GGACGCUUCGGGGGUUUCGGCCCCCGGGGAGUGGCGCACGGGUGAGUAGCGCGUGGGAACCUGUCCCUUUGUGGGGGAUAACCGAGGGAAACUUCGGCUAAUACCGCAUGCGCCCCCGGAGUGAUUCGGGGGGAAAGAUUUAUCGCAGAGGGAGGGGCCCGCGUCGGAUUAGGUUGUUGGUGGGGUAACGGCCUACCAAGCCGAUGAUCCGUAGCUGGUCUGAGAGGAUGAUCAGCCACACUGGGACUGAGACACGGCCCAGACUCCUACGGGAGGCAGCAGUGGGGAAUAUUGGACAAUGGGCGCAAGCCUGAUCCAGCAAUGCCGCGUGAGUGAUGAAGGCCUUCGGGUUGUAAAGCUCUUUGGGCGGGGACGAUGAUGACGGUACCCGCAGAACAAGCCCCGGCUAACUUCGUG
RNAcentral lists this ribosomal RNA (417 nucleotides) under uncultured bacterium. Its description in RNAcentral is "bacterial SSU rRNA". It matches the Rfam family "Bacterial small subunit ribosomal RNA", at positions 64 to 507 of the family's 1533-position model. The record is from RNAcentral.